GGAACUCCCACUCCAGGGAAUAAAGGCAUUCCUCAGGUUUUUCACUGAUCAGAAACUUUGUCUCCGGUGUGAAUUACUUCUAGGGAAAGCGUGCACGCAUUAAUUAAUCAAUUUGGAAGGAGUAGAUAGACAAAUAAUCAAAGUUUUCUUUGAUCCAAAACAAUUUUGGCACCCCAGAUGGGACUGGAAGGUAUGUUAAUAAGGAAGCCGUAAAAUCCCAGGACCGGAGAGGAGAC
This is a non-coding RNA of Pelobates cultripes (western spadefoot toad), 236 nucleotides long. NCBI's taxonomy places the organism in Eukaryota, Metazoa, Chordata, Amphibia, Anura, Pelobatidae. The record is from the annotation of a GenBank genome assembly.